GAUGAACGCUGGCGGCGUGCCUAAUACAUGCAAGUCGAGCUAACGGACGAGUAGCUUUCUUCCCUGAUGUUAGCGGCGGACGGGUUAGUAACACGUGGAUAUCCUACCUAUUAGACUUGGAUCACUUCGGGAAACCGGAGCUAAUACCGGAUAAUAUUUUCAACCGCAUUGUUCAAAAGUUUAUGACGGUCUUGCUGUCACUUAUAGAUUGAUCCGCGCUGCAUUAGCUAGUUGGUAAGGUAACGGCUUACCAAGGCAACGAUGCAUAGCCGACCUGAGAGGGUGAUCGGCCACACUGGAACUGAGACACGGUCCAGACUCCUACGGGAGGCAGCAGUAGGGAAUCUUCCGCAAUGGGCGAAAGCCUGACGGAGCAACGCCGCGUGAGUGAUGAAGGUCUUCGGAUCGUAAAACUCUGUUAUUAGGGAAGAACAUAUGUGUAAGUAACUGUGCACAUCUUGACGGUACCUAAUCAGAAAGCCACGGCUAACUACGUG
This 497-nucleotide ribosomal RNA is filed under the name uncultured bacterium. RNAcentral's name for it is "partial 16S ribosomal RNA". It matches the Rfam family "Bacterial small subunit ribosomal RNA", at positions 28 to 507 of the family's 1533-position model. The record is from RNAcentral.